AUCUUUCUGCCUGCAUCACUUUAAAAAUGUUGAUUAAAGAAUUGGGGGUGGGGGGUGGGGAGGGAGAGUA
This 70-nucleotide microRNA precursor is filed under the name Echinops telfairi (small Madagascar hedgehog). Its description in RNAcentral is "miRNA (ENSETEG00000025701.1)". Lineage: Eukaryota; Metazoa; Chordata; Mammalia; Afrosoricida; Tenrecidae. The record is from RNAcentral.